UGGGGAAUUUUGGACAAUGGGCGCAAGCCUGAUCCAGCAAUGCCGCGUGCAGGAUGAAGGCCUUCGGGUUGUAAACUGCUUUUGUACGGAGCGAAAUGGCUCUCUCUAAUACAUGGGGAUCAUGACGGUACCGUAAGAAUAAGCACCGGCUAACUACGUGCCAGCAGCCGCGGUAAUACGUAGGGUGCAAGCGUUAAUCGGAAUUACUGGGCGUAAAGCGUGCGCAGGCGGUUAUGUAAGACAGAUGUGAAAUCCCCGGGCUCAACCUGGGAACUGCAUUUGUGACUGCAUAGCUAGAGUGCGGCAGAGGGGGAUGGAAUUCCGCGUGUAGCAGUGAAAUGCGUAGAUAUGCGGAGGAACACCGAUGGCGAAGGCAAUCCCCUGGGCCUGCACUGACGCUCAUGCACGAAAGCGUGGGGAGCAAACAGGAUUAGAUACCCUGGUAGUCCACGCCCUAAACGAUGUCAACUGGUUGUUGGGUCUUCACUGACUCAGUAACGAAGCUAACGCGUGAAGUUGACCGCC
Molecule: ribosomal RNA, 525 nt
Filed under: Curvibacter sp. enrichment culture
Lineage: Bacteria; Pseudomonadati; Pseudomonadota; Betaproteobacteria; Burkholderiales; Comamonadaceae
Description: bacterial SSU rRNA
Rfam family: Bacterial small subunit ribosomal RNA
Source: RNAcentral